Long non-coding RNA from Passer domesticus (house sparrow), 4459 nucleotides. RefSeq lists it as uncharacterized. Lineage: Eukaryota; Metazoa; Chordata; Aves; Passeriformes; Passeridae. The record is from RefSeq and is a predicted model, not a curated record. The transcript has 3 exons.
UGGUCCUGCCUUUCAUUUUGGAGCUGGGGCUCCUCCUGUGCUCUUUCCCAAUGUGGAGGCUGCAGGUGCUGCUUCUCCUCUCUGCUCUCAGCUCAUUCCUGUGUUGAAGGCUUGAGCACAAACCAUGGAUGGAGCAGAGGAUGGCAGAGCAGGAGCUUGUCCAGGCGGGGAUUCAUCAGUUCUGGGAGGCAGCAAGAACCAGCAUCAGCAAAUUGCUCCACUGAUCUUGGCUGAGAAAUGGGAGUUUUGGGUCUAAGGCUAUGGCUAGUGGUCAGAUAAUGUCAUUUUUUCUUUGGUUUUUUUUUUCCUCUUAAACUUGUAGAAAUGGGCCAGUUCAAUCUGCCAAGCAUCUGCUGCCAUGCCUGCUACCUAAAACCACCUUUCUUUCCGUGCUCCAGUGUGAAUCCAGUUCCCUUAAGCAGGGCUCGCACAGUAAUUAGGUGAAUUUUCCAGGCAGCCAUAAAUUGGGGUCACGGCUGCUUUAUUUAGCAGUGGUGUCACUCUGAUGAUCCAUGGUCACGUAGUAAUGGGCUAGGAUUUUUCCUCCUUCAUAGUUUCCAAAUUAAGGAGCUGUUCACCUGGUGGGACUGUGGAUUUUACCCAGUUAUAUGGCUGCAUGUCUGCUACUGUUGAAAUUCAACCCACUUUUAUUAUUUAAGUAUCUUUUUUAAGUUCUUUUUGUACAUUUUCCUGAUUCUCCUUUCCUAACUCAGUUUUACCAAAAGCCAUAAACAAAAGCCAGGAUUACCAGUGGGGAGAAAAACCACCAAAACUUACCCCAACCUGACAAAUUUGUAGUUCUUAGCGUCUAAACAUAUCCACCAACCAAGACCACAACUAGUUACAUGUGAAGAACUUAGUGCAGCCCAUAUGUUGAAAAAACUUGGAUUUUUACAUUUUUCUCUUUUAGCAAGAUUUAAAACUGUCCCAGGGUACAUGGGUGGAUUUAAAAAGUGGAUGGUGAGGUCUGCUUGGAGGUGUUGCAGCUCAUUGGAAAUACUCUGCUCAGUGAGUUUUCAUUGUUGAGUGGCGCUGAGUGAAUAGUGAACAUGCUAAAAGAAAGAGGCAGUGAGAAAAUACUGCAGUUCUUCAUGUUGUAAUUGUGUGGUGUUUACAUGAAGCUGUGAGGUCACCGGCUUCCGGUACGAGCCGCUUCCUGAAAACCUUCUACACGAACUUGUACAGCAGUGCAGGAUAGUGGUCCCCUGGAAUGGAGGGUGAUGCUGCAGGAGGCACGGGAUGUGCUGGAGAAGGUACCACAGGAGAAAUUGGGUUCACAAAACCCAAAGCAGGCAGUGGGAGCGUGGAAACAAACAGUCUGACGUGUAGAAAGUAUUGAUAGUCUCAGGCUUUAGCAAACUGUGAGUCAUGCUUUGGCAAGUGAUGCAGUCAGGUUUGAAAUAACGAGGUAAAACCAGCAUCAGCAAAAUUGCUGCAUGUUCCUAUUUUCCUGUUGAGUUUCAAGUAUGUAAAAGCAAUUAGUUAUUUACAAAACCUGUUGAAAUUAAAUAAUUCUAUUUUUUUAAUACAAAGUUCUCAUACUGUUGGUGGCUUCUAAACUUGUAUGUUUGGAAAUCAUAGAAUUAUUAGGCUUGGAAAAGCCCUCUAAGAUCAUGAAACACAACCAUUCCCUCAGCACUUGAGAAAAACAGGUUCCUAAAUGCCAUAUCUUCAUGUCCUUUAAAUUCCUGCACGGAUGGGGACUCUAAUAUGUCCUGGGUAACCUGUUAUAAUCCUUAACAACCCUUUAUGUGAAGAAAUUUUCCAUAAUAUCCAGCCUAAACCUCCCCUGGUGGAACUUGCAGCAGUUUCUUCUUGUCCUGUCUCUUGUUGCUCAGGAGAUGGAAGUAGCCAUCAAAUUUCUGUAAGACAUGAAGGAUUUGGCAAUAAUAAAAAAACCCCAAGCAUAUAUAUGUGUGUGUGAUAAAGGAAACAGGCAGCCAAGUUUUAUUACUCAUCACAUAGAACACAGUUUUGGAUUGUAUGACAUUUAUAAUGUAAAAGAGAUGAUUCCAACCAAAAUGUGUUCUUUGAAGUGAAACAUGGUCCUCACAAAGCAAUGUAAAUUAACUAAACUGUGGCAGGUCAGCAUGUGUGGGAACCAGGAAAGAUGAAAAGUGUGUCUGAAGAAAGAAUUAGAAUUCUGAAGUAGUUUUAAUAGAGUUAUGCCUGUGUUUUUAAUUUUUUUAACCAUAUUAGAAGAACUGACAUAUUUUAAAAGUGUAUGUAUUUUUUACAAUAACAGUAUAAUCCUAAAAUGCCUGGAUGAAAAGUUUGAGUUGAAUAUUUUUUCUAUUUUGUGGGGAUUUUAUUCUUCAUAGCAAUUAGCUAAAAUAUUACUUAAGGCUAAUACCUAACCUAGCAGAGUAAAGACUAGCUAGAACAUCUUUAAAGGAGUGCUUUUAUUUAUAGAUGAUCUGAGUGUUGCAGUGUAUGAAAAUACAGACAUUCUGCUGUGAAAAUGAGUGUUUGAACAUCAUGUGUCAGUUUGAAGGUUGAAGAUAAAUGUGAAUUUCCAGGGUUAGUAAUACACUCAUUAAUACCAAAUCAGGGGUUUUUUUUAAUGACCAUGCACAAUAUACUGAAACUUGCCAGACUUCACAGAAGUAAUAGCAAUGGGAAAUUCUUAAAUACAAAUAGUUCUUAACUUUACAAGCAAUUUUAACAAUACUGUGGUUUUAGUCAGUCAUCAUGCUGUUUUAUAACAGCUGUAAACUCUAUUUCCAGAAAGACACGCUGCCUGUCAACCUAAAGUUGGCAACAUUCCUGUGAAUUUCCAUGGUAAUUUUAUUGGUAAUUAGCAUUUGUCAAUAGCUGGUCUGUCAUAACCCUUACGCAUCUCAAACGUCUUCUGCCUGUGUAGCAGUGAAAUUCUUAAAAUUCAGCUUUGUGGCUUUUGUCACUCCUGCGAGAAGAACCAGGGGUUUAAACUCCCUCAGUGUGGUGAUGUUCACUGUUCUGUUGAUAUUGAUAUUGUAGCAUUUUUUUUUCCUUUCAUUGUCUGGGUUUUAAACUUGUGGCUGUGGCACCAACAUCCUCAUCUUCUAGUGUGUAUUUUCUUUUAUUCUGGGUCUUGAGGAGGAUGCAGUGUGGUCAUAAGAAUUGCAGGUUGUCCCAAAAAGUUCUAGUGGCUUGAGCAAGUCAAGGUGAACUUUCAGUCUGGUAGAGCCCUUGAUGAUUUUUGCAUUUCUCUGUAGGUUGGUGUUGUCAUUCAUCUGAAAUAAUCUGGGAAUAUGUCGUUAAUUGUUUUUUGUCAGUUCUUGGGUGAGUGCAUGACCACCUGACAGGUGGGAAAAAAAAACCUCAGGUAAAGUUCUGUUUUGGAUGAAAUGCAAUAACCUGUGAUAGAAAAGGGUUCAGAUAAAAUGACCUAAAGCCUUUGGCCUCCAGAGCUGUAGUCCAGCUUUGUUGUAGAAAUGAAGUUCAUGAAUCUUCAGUAAUGAUCACACUGGAGGAACAUUCGUGUUUAUUCACAUUUUAAAAGGUUCGUCUUUGGGUGAAACUGGCACAUAGACUUAGCUGAAUAUUGUUUUGGGGUCACUUGGUUUUCUAUGUUGCUUAAGAUGCUAAACUUUUAAGUACUUUGCACUUUGUGUGUUCUUCUGAAACAUUAAAUUGUUUUAUUGGUUUUACAUUUGCUGUGCAGUAGUUACUAGUUAUCUUUGCAUCUUGAUUUUAUCCCCUGUGAAUCCCUAGUGCUGAGCUUGUGGGAGCUUUAUUUGGCUGAGUAACAGUGAGCAGUAUGUGGCUUGGCAGCUGGAAUUUCCCAAAAUCAAAGCGAAAUGAAGGAAAUUAAGAGUUAAAGCAAGGACAGGAGCUUGCAGCAGCAGAUCAGUGCAGUUUCAGAUACUUAUCACUAGGAGGACACACAGACCGUGAUAUUAAGGAACUAAUUGUUUAUCUUUUCCUAUUAACUGGUUUGGUACUGAAGAAUUCUGUCUUGAAUGGGUGCCAUAUAGUAAUGUGUUAAUUAAGAUACUUGAUUUUACUAGAAAUUAAAAGAGAGGGUUGUGUAAUGGACAAAACCAGAGUGUGAUGACAUGAGGAAAUCUCCCGGGGAUUACUUUGUUGGUGAAGCAGAACACGGAUUCUCGAGGGCGUUCGUCCGCCAGAAAUAGGUGACAUUUAGGUAGAAGUGAUCCCUUUUUUUACCAUUUACUUUACAGCUUUGUGUUGCAAGGAAUUCUUACGCCUUUGUGUGAAAUGUUUGUGGUGUUUCCUGCUGGUCAGGACACUGUGUGACGUGGAUCAGUGGCUGGGAUUUGAUGCGGCGUUGGCUGUAAUCUUCAUUUAAUCUGUUUGUUGGUGUUUCACAGUGUUUGCAAAUAGCUUUUCUUUUACUUGUCUAUAUGUGUUUACUUAGAUUCUGAUGUACAGUGUCUGUGUCAGGUUGAGUAAUAUGGAAAUUAGUCUAAUUGAUUUAAAUAGUUUGUAGACUGCCCAUGUUGCUGAGGCAAGC